CGCACAAGCGGUGGAGCAUGUGGUUUAAUUCGAUGCAACGCGAAGAACCUUACCUGGUCUUGACAUCCACAGAACUUAGCAGAGAUGCUUUGGUGCCUUCGGGAACUGUGAGACAGGUGCUGCAUGGCUGUCGUCAGCUCGUGUUGUGAAAUGUUGGGUUAAGUCCCGCAACGAGCGCAACCCUUAUCCUUUGUUGCCAGCGGUUCGGCCGGGAACUCAAAGGAGACUGCCAGUGAUAAACUGGAGGAAGGUGGGGAUGACGUCAAGUCAUCAUGGCCCUUACGACCAGGGCUACACACGUGCUACAAUGGCAUAUACAAAGAGAAGCGACCUCGCGAGAGCAAGCGGACCUCAUAAAGUAUGUCGUAGUCCGGAUUGGAGUCUGCAACUCGACUCCAUGAAGUCGGAAUCGCUAGUAAUCGUAGAUCAGAAUGCUACGGUGAAUACGUUCCCGGGCCUUGUACACACCGCCCGUCACACCAUGGGAGUGGGUUGCAAAAGAAGUAGGUAGCUUAACCUUCGGGAGGGCGCUUACCACUUUGUGAUUCAUGACUGGGGUGAAGUCGUAACAAGGUAACCGUAGGGGAACCUGCGGUUGGAUCACCUCCUUACCUUAAAGAA
Molecule: ribosomal RNA, 621 nt
Filed under: Klebsiella pneumoniae
Lineage: Bacteria; Pseudomonadati; Pseudomonadota; Gammaproteobacteria; Enterobacterales; Enterobacteriaceae
Description: bacterial SSU rRNA
Rfam family: Bacterial small subunit ribosomal RNA
Source: RNAcentral